RNAcentral lists this ribosomal RNA (1445 nucleotides) under Macrolibnetis depressus. RNAcentral describes it as "SSU rRNA". It matches the Rfam family "Eukaryotic small subunit ribosomal RNA", at positions 418 to 1774 of the family's 1831-position model. The record is from RNAcentral. Lineage: Eukaryota; Metazoa; Arthropoda; Insecta; Coleoptera; Lycidae.
AAGGAAGGCAGCAGGCGCGCAAAUUACCCACUCCCGGCACGGGGAGGUAGUGACGAAAAAUAACGAUACGGGACUCAUCCGAGGCCCCGUAAUCGGAAUGAGAACAAUUUAAAUCCUUUAACGAGGAUCAAUUGGAGGGCAAGUCUGGUGCCAGCAGCCGCGGUAAUUCCAGCUCCAAUAGCGUAUAUUAAAGUUGUUGCGGUUAAAAAGCUCGUAGUCGGAUCUGUGUCCCGCGCCGCCGGUUCGCCGCUCGCGGUGUUUAACUGGCGGGUACGCGGGACGUCCUGCCGGUGGGCCUAACUCUUUCAACAGGGCGGCCCAAUUAUAAUCCCGUCGCGGUGCUCUUCACCGAGUGUCGAGGCGGGCCGGCACGUUUACUUUGAACAAAUUAGAGUGCUUAAAGCAGGCUCAAACUGCGCCUGAAUACUUCGUGCAUGGAAUAAUGGAAUAGGACCUCGGUUCUAUUUUGUUGGUUUUCGGAACCCCGAGGUAAUGAUUAAUAGGAACGGAUGGGGGCAUUCGUAUUGCGACGUUAGAGGUGAAAUUCUUGGAUCGUCGCAAGACGGACAGAAGCGAAAGCAUUUGCCAAAAACGUUUUCAUUGAUCAAGAACGAAAGUUAGAGGUUCGAAGGCGAUCAGAUACCGCCCUAGUUCUAACCAUAAACGAUGCCAGCUAGCGAUCCGCCGACGUUCCUCCGAUGACUCGGCGGGCAGCUUCCGGGAAACCAAAGCUUUUGGGUUCCGGGGGAAGUAUGGUUGCAAAGCUGAAACUUAAAGGAAUUGACGGAAGGGCACCACCAGGAGUGGAGCCUGCGGCUUAAUUUGACUCAACACGGGAAACCUCACCAGGCCCGGACACCGGAAGGAUUGACAGAUUGAGAGCUCUUUCUUGAUUCGGUGGGUGGUGGUGCAUGGCCGUUCUUAGUUGGUGGAGCGAUUUGUCUGGUUAAUUCCGAUAACGAACGAGACUCUGGCCUGCUAACUAGGCGUAUUUCCGACAUCUCGAAGGCCGCGCCGGCUUGGUGCGUUCACACGUGGCAAGCUGCGCGUAGCUUUUACUGUCGGCGUACAAGCAAAUCUUCUUAGAGGGACAGGCGGCUUCUAGCCGCACGAGAUAGAGCAAUAACAGGUCUGUGAUGCCCUUAGAUGUUCUGGGCCGCACGCGCGCUACACUGAAGGAAUCAGCGUGUCUUCCCUGUCCGAGCGGACCGGGUAACCCGCUGAACCUCCUUCGUGCUAGGGAUUGGGGCUUGCAAUUGUUCCCCAUGAACGAGGAAUUCCCAGUAAGCGCGAGUCAUAAGCUCGCGUUGAUUACGUCCCUGCCCUUUGUACACACCGCCCGUCGCUACUACCGAUUGAAUGAUUUAGUGAGGUCUUCGGACCGGCACGCGGAGGCGUUUCAACGUCGUCGAUGAUGCUGGAAAGAUGACCAAACUUGAUUAUUU